Molecule: ribosomal RNA, 465 nt
Filed under: Vreelandella stevensii
Lineage: Bacteria; Pseudomonadati; Pseudomonadota; Gammaproteobacteria; Oceanospirillales; Halomonadaceae
Description: partial 16S ribosomal RNA
Rfam family: Bacterial small subunit ribosomal RNA
Source: RNAcentral
CCUACGGGUGGCUGCAGUGGGGAAUAUUGGACAAUGGGCGAAAGCCUGAUCCAGCCAUGCCGCGUGUGUGAAGAAGGCCUUCGGGUUGUAAAGCACUUUCAGUGGGGAAGAAAGCCUUGGGGCUAAUACCCUCGAGGAAGGACAUCACCCACAGAAGAAGCACCGGCUAACUCCGUGCCAGCAGCCGCGGUAAUACGGAGGGUGCGAGCGUUAAUCGGAAUUACUGGGCGUAAAGCGCGCGUAGGCGGUCUGAUAAGCCGGUUGUGAAAGUCCCGGGCUCAACCUGGGAACGGCAUCCGGAACUGUCAGGCUUGAGUGCAGGAGAGGAAAGUAGAAUUCCCGGUGUAGCAGUGAAAUGCGUAGAGAUCGGGAGGAAAACCAGUGGCGAAGGGCGCCUUCUGGACUGACACUGACGCUGAGGUGCGAAAGCGUGGGUAGCAAACAGGAUUAGAUACCCCAGUAGUC